AGGACGAACGCUGGCGGCGUGCUUAACACAUGCAAGUCGAGCGGUAAGGCCUUUCGGGGUACACGAGCGGCGAACGGGUGAGUAACACGUGGGUGAUCUGCCCUGCACUCUGGGAUAAGCCUGGGAAACUGGGUCUAAUACCGGAUAUGACCUGCUCUCGCAGUGGGGGGUGGGUGGAAAGAUUUAUCGGUGCAGGAUGGGCCCGCGGCCUAUCAGCCUGUUGGUGGGGUAAUGGCCUACCAAGGCGACGACGGGUAGCCGACCUGAGAGGGUGACCGGCCACACUGGGACUGAGACACGGCCCAGACUCCUACGGGAGGCAGCAGUGGGGAAUAUUGCACAAUGGGCGAAAGCCUGAUGCAGCGACGCCGCGUGAGGAUGAAGGCCGUUCGGGUUCGUAAACCUCUUUACAGCGAGGACGAAGCGCAAGUGACGGUACUGACAGAAGAACGCGACCGGACUAACGUACGUGACCAGCAGCCGAC
Molecule: ribosomal RNA, 485 nt
Filed under: uncultured soil bacterium
Lineage: Bacteria
Description: bacterial SSU rRNA
Rfam family: Bacterial small subunit ribosomal RNA
Source: RNAcentral